GAUGAACGCUGGCGGCGUGCCUAAUACAUGCAAGUCGAGCGAACGGACGAGAAGCUUGCUUCUCUGAUGUUAGCGGCGGACGGGUGAGUAACACGUGGAUAACCUACCUAUAAGACUGGGAUAACUUCGGGAAACCGUAGCUAAUACCGGAUAAUAUUUUGAACCGCAUGGUUCAAAAGUGAAAGACGGUCUUGCUGUCACUUAUAGAUGGAUCCGCGCUGCAUUAGCUAGUUGGUAAGGUAACGGCUUACCAAGGCAACGAUGCAUAGCCGACCUGAGAGGGUGAUCGGCCACACUGGAACUGAGACACGGUCCAGACUCCUACGGGAGGCAGCAGUAGGGAAUCUUCCGCAAUGGGCGAAAGCCUGACGGAGCAACGCCGCGUGAGUGAUGAAGGUCUUCGGAUCGUAAAACUCUGUUAUUAGGAAGAACAUAUGUGUAAGUAACUGUGCACAUCUUGACGGUACCUAAUCAGAAAGCCACGGCUAACUACGUG
This 496-nucleotide ribosomal RNA is filed under the name uncultured bacterium. RNAcentral describes it as "partial 16S ribosomal RNA". It matches the Rfam family "Bacterial small subunit ribosomal RNA", at positions 28 to 507 of the family's 1533-position model. The record is from RNAcentral.